CCUACGGGCGGCUGCAGUGGGGAAUAUUGGACAAUGGGGGGAACCCUGAUCCAGCCAUGCCGCGUGUGUGAAGAAGGCCCUCGGGUUGUAAAGCACUUUCAGUGAGGAAGAACGCCUGGUGGUUAAUACCCAUCAGGAAAGACAUCACUCACAGAAGAAGCACCGGCUAACUCCGUGCCAGCAGCCGCGGUAAUACGGAGGGUGCGAGCGUUAAUCGGAAUUACUGGGCGUAAAGCGCGCGUAGGUGGCUUGAUAAGCCGGUUGUGAAAGCCCCGGGCUCAACCUGGGAACGGCAUCCGGAACUGUCAAGCUAGAGUGCAGGAGAGGAAGGUAGAAUUCCCGGUGUAGCGGUGAAAUGCGUAGAGAUCGGGAGGAAUACCAGUGGCGAAGGCGGCCUUCUGGACUGACACUGACACUGAGGUGCGAAAGCGUGGGUAGCAAACAGGAUUAGAUAUCCCUGUAGUC
This 465-nucleotide ribosomal RNA is filed under the name Vreelandella stevensii. Its description in RNAcentral is "partial 16S ribosomal RNA". It matches the Rfam family "Bacterial small subunit ribosomal RNA", at positions 338 to 795 of the family's 1533-position model. Lineage: Bacteria; Pseudomonadati; Pseudomonadota; Gammaproteobacteria; Oceanospirillales; Halomonadaceae. The record is from RNAcentral.